CGUACACUCCUGCGGGAGGCAGCAGUAGGGAAUCUUCCACAAUGGGUGCAAACCUGAUGGAGCAAUGCCGCGUGAGUGAAGAAGGUCUUCGGAUCGUAAAGCUCUGUUGUUAGAGAAGAACACGUGCUAGGUAACUACUAGCGCCUUGACGGUAUCUAACCAGAAAGUCACGGCUAACUACGUGCCAGCAGCCGCGGUAAUACGUAGGUGACAAGCGUUGUCCGGAUUUAUUGGGCGUAAAGGGAGCGCAGGCGGUCUGUUUAGUCUAAUGUGAAAGCCCACGGCUUAACCGUGGAACGGCAUUGGAAACUGACAGACUUGAAUGUAGAAGAGGAAAAUGGAAUUCCAAGUGUAGCGGUGGAAUGCGUAGAUAUUUGGAGGAACACCAGUGGCGAAGGCGAUUUUCUGGUCUAACAUUGACGCUGAGGCUCGAAAGCGUGGGGAGCGAACAGGAUUAGAUACCCGUGUAGUCCCA
RNAcentral lists this ribosomal RNA (475 nucleotides) under uncultured organism. Its description in RNAcentral is "partial 16S ribosomal RNA". It matches the Rfam family "Bacterial small subunit ribosomal RNA", at positions 330 to 797 of the family's 1533-position model. The record is from RNAcentral.